Molecule: long non-coding RNA, 393 nt
Filed under: Sinocyclocheilus anshuiensis
Lineage: Eukaryota; Metazoa; Chordata; Actinopteri; Cypriniformes; Cyprinidae
Description: lncRNA (ENSSANG00000016958.1)
Source: RNAcentral
CUUGUGGGACACUGCUACUGCACGAGGCGCGCGAUGAACACCUGUGCGCAUCUCUGCGCCACCAGCACACAGCCCAGGGAUUUCACCUCGUCCUUGAGAGACCAGCACAAAUCAACCCAAAUAAAACAUCCCGACACUGUUCACCUCUACCGGAGGGUCGUUUUCCUUCGAGACACGUGGACGAAGCCGUACACAGCAUUAGGGACAGAAGAGACGCAGCCUCUAUAGAGGGACUCAGACAGGGUGGGAGGAGAUCCCAGCAGGUAAAAAGACCCACCGCAGGUCACGACCACAAACAGCAUAUCAGCUGGCUAUUUCUGAACAGGCCAUUGUGUCUGAUUUCUGUCCACACAGACACACACACACACACACACGCGCACACACACACACACG